UAACUGCUCGUAUCUUGACGGUACCUUAUUAGAAAGCCACGGCUAACUACGUGCCAGCAGCCGCGGUAAUACGUAGGUGGCAAGCGUUGUCCGGAAUUAUUGGGCGUAAAGCGCGCGCAGGCGGUUCUUUAAGUCUGAUGUGAAAGCCCACGGCUCAACCGUGGAGGGUC
Molecule: ribosomal RNA, 170 nt
Filed under: bacterium a27(2011)
Lineage: Bacteria
Description: partial small subunit ribosomal RNA
Rfam family: Bacterial small subunit ribosomal RNA
Source: RNAcentral